Molecule: ribosomal RNA, 257 nt
Filed under: uncultured prokaryote
Description: partial 16S ribosomal RNA
Rfam family: Bacterial small subunit ribosomal RNA
Source: RNAcentral
UACGGAGGGUGCAAGCGUUAUCCGGAUUCAUUGGGUUUAAAGGGUGCGCAGGCGGGCAUUUAAGUCAGUGGUGAAAAGCUGCCGCUUAACGGUAGUCUUGCCAUUGAUACUUUUUGUCUUGAGUUUGUUUGAGGUAGGCGGAAUGUGCAGUGUAGCGGUGAAAUGCAUAGAUAUUGCACGGAACUCCGAUUGCGUAGGCAGCUUACUAGACCAAUACUGACGCUCAUGCACGAAAGCGUGGGGAUCAAACAGGAUUA